AAGAGGAGUCCAAGGUGGUCACACCCAUUCUCUUGCUCAUCUCUCCCAUGUUUCCUAGGUCCAUCUCUUUUAAAUACCUCAAGAACCACUAGUCCCUCCUACCAAGGAAUUUGCAAGCCCUUUGGUGUCCAACACAUUGGUCCCAUAGAGUCUCUGUCGCUUCUUCUUCAACUUUGAAGUUUCUUCCUUUAGAGGCUAAACCCUUUCUUAAGUAUGGACGCUCUUACUAUUACAAUCCUUCUAAUUUUUUUCAUUCUUAACAUGUCCAGUUUUCUCUUUAAUUGUUUCCAUAUCUGUCUUUCCCAACUUUUUUCUUAGAUUAAUAAAGCCACUUGAUUUAGUGUUCAAUAGUAUUAGAGAUAUAGAUUGGUUAGAAUCAUUUUUCAAACAAAAAUAGUCAACCAAUGUCAAUACAUCUUCUCGUUCUGAAACUCUAAUUGGGAAUCAAAUGUCAACACAAUUGAGGAUCAAAACUUUCUUGAUACAACUAAACCUGUCCAUGGGUCAGGUGACUUGGCCCGGCCUGAAGGCCUGCCCAAAAAGUGGGAGGGUUUAGGCGAAAAUAUAUGCUCAAAGAAUGGGCUUGGG
Molecule: long non-coding RNA, 588 nt
Filed under: Gossypium barbadense (sea-island cotton)
Lineage: Eukaryota; Viridiplantae; Streptophyta; Magnoliopsida; Malvales; Malvaceae
Description: long non-coding RNA (GBAR_LNC010827)
Source: RNAcentral